This is a long non-coding RNA of Brassica napus (rape), 1905 nucleotides long. RefSeq lists it as uncharacterized. NCBI's taxonomy places the organism in Eukaryota, Viridiplantae, Streptophyta, Magnoliopsida, Brassicales, Brassicaceae. The record is from RefSeq and is a predicted model, not a curated record. The transcript has 6 exons.
AUCACUAUUUAUCCCGAAAAAAUUCAAAAGGCUACGUUUGGGCUCUAUAUUGAUUUUAAUGGCCCAGAUGAAAAGGUCCAGAUUAUUUCUCUUACUCUCAAUCUGCACCCCAGAAAAAAAAAACUUACACGAUGAUUCCACUUCGUCUUCUCCGAUUAGUCUCCAUCCAAUGUCAAUUACUAAACCUCAUAUGCAUCAAUCAAUUGUGCUCUUCAAUACCCUCUUAAUGGAUUCGAUUCGCCUCCUCUUUCUCCUUCUUGAUAAACCAGUUCGUGAAAACAUGCAUUCAUUGAAUCCUGAAAAUCUUCUCCCAAGAAGUUGAAACUAUGGCGAUGAAACCACACAGCAAGUCCUCUAUAUCCUCCGCCAAGUCUCACGUAGGUAUGCUCUUCAAAGAUAUCUCACCAGGUCCACACGAAUCUGAGUUACGAUUUCGGAGGCUAGAAACUAUGCAAAAGAAGGACCCGUAUUUGUAUCUCUAACAGUUAUUCGUCUUCUCAGAGGUUGAGAAAAAAAGCGUCUGGUUACUGACACAAACAAGUUCAUGUUCCAUAUAUUCGAAAACCUCUAUGGCAAUUUCGCCACCGAAUGAUGUAAAUGUUGUUGGCCACAUGAAGCUAAUCAAUGAGACAAUCUCUCAUUAACAGCCCGGUACUUGAUCAAGUUGAUAGUUUCCACUCGGGGAGUAUUGGUUAAUCUACAGCCACAGAGGGACUUCUUAUGAAUGUAUACGUAUGGGGACCAGGCUGCCAACGAGUUGUACAUGAAAUUCAAUGAAGCCGCUGAAAUACUAUGAGACAAAUUUCUGGAUUAUGAUGAAUAGUGUGAUUCACCAAGGUUUAUUUGCAAGACCUGUCCUACAUAAUCAUCAUGGCUUUCAGUUUUAUUCACCAAGGUUAUUGUCUCUUAAAACUUUCUGAUUUGCUUUUGUAUGGAGUUUUAUAAAGGGUUAUAAAAGGCAUUUUAGUAUAAAGUUGGAAGCUUUUUAUUUUGAGGAUAGACUGUACUGUUACAUACGUUUUAUGCAGGGUUUCUCUUUUCCAAGAGAUGAAAUGUCUGUUCAUGAAAUAAUGUUUUGGUAAUUCUUUCCUUGACUCCAAAGUGGGGUGAUCAUCCGGCUGUCAUGGCUGAUGGGUUUGUUGAUGGAACCUCAUAAAUCAUUUUCCAAACACUUCUUUCUCUUGGUCCUCCAAAAUCAGAAUCUUUGCAGAUGGGAUUUCUGAUUUUACCAAGGCAGUGCGGUCGAACAUCUUGAUGGUCUCACAUAUAAUUUCAUAACAUUUAUACAGCGAUUGGUUAUCUUGGUCAGCUUCCUGCCAAGCUUUUGUGUCUUUGUUUGUCUUAGUAAUGACAUGAUGUAGGAACAGGGGAUGGAAAGAAAAGAUUUUCCGUUGAGGUGUUACUGGCAAAGGAAAUAUGAUAGAACAUACGUUAAUCUUUACCAUUCUCUAUUUCACAAGAAAUGUCCACCUCAUCAAAGAUACCCAUUUAAUUCUGGUGGGGUUCUGUAAAUGACAAAUAAAAAAAGUCAUGAGUCUCAUGGCAGAAAAUGGUAGUGGCAAAGAAUAAUAUAGCUGACAGUGGGUUGUGGCAAAGCCACGUUGCAGCUCCAGUUUUCAGGAAAUCACCAUCGUUGAUUCAAGUGGUGGUAUUGUAUCCAAAGUUUCUUAUAUCCUUUUGAUUGUUUGAACAAAGUCUUAGCUUUUUCGAGGAAACUUCUAAUCGUAAUUCCGCAUGAAGUGUAGUGAUCUACAGUAGUUAUGUACAUAGAUUUCCGAUACAACAAGCUGUCAUAAGUAGUAGCAGAAUCCUUAUGUUUUCCACCUCUUAAACUUUGGAUAUUUCAGAUGGAUAGCUUAUCUGAAUUGAGUCAUUCACAAUAAUUUAUAAUUUUAUUUCCGGAGA